GGUGAGAUUUAGUUUGGUUGGAAAUCCUGUGGGUUCAAGAAUCUGGAUUAAUUGCUGUUUUGGUUUGUUCAAUUUGUUCCAGCAGCAACCCAUUUGUCCUGGUAGCCACAGUUCUGGUGUGGAUCAACAAGCACGGCUACGAGUUGGCAAUUUAUUUAGUUGCUAGCGGCGACAAGUUGAUCUUCAGUUGUGCGGUUGAUAGAAUCUUUAGAGUGGUGCAGAUUUAAAUUGGGACUUUGAUUCGAGACGAGUG
Long non-coding RNA from Zingiber officinale, 253 nucleotides. RefSeq lists it as uncharacterized. The transcript has 3 exons. NCBI's taxonomy places the organism in Eukaryota, Viridiplantae, Streptophyta, Magnoliopsida, Zingiberales, Zingiberaceae. The record is from RefSeq and is a predicted model, not a curated record.